Molecule: long non-coding RNA, 1233 nt
Filed under: Parus major (Great Tit)
Lineage: Eukaryota; Metazoa; Chordata; Aves; Passeriformes; Paridae
Description: lncRNA (ENSPMJG00000004194.1)
Source: RNAcentral
AUGCACCUGGGCUCAGCUCCUCUCGGGCUUCUCAAAAUACCUGGGAAGUGUGGACCAGGAUAUACCAGUACAUACCAGUGUAUACCAGUGUAUACCAGUGUAUACCAGUAUAUACCAGUAUAUAUCAGUAUAUACCAGUACAUACCAGUACAUACCAGUAUAUAUCAGUGUAUACCAGUGUAUACCAGUAUAUACCAGUGUAUACCAGUACAUACCAGCAUAUACCAGUGUAUACCAGUAUAUUCCAGUAUAUACCAGUAUAUACCAGUAUAUUCCAGUAUAUACCAGUAUAUACCAGUAUAUUCCAGUAUAUACCAGUAUAUACCAGUAUAUACCAGUAUAUUCCAGUAUAUACCAGUAUAUACCAGUAUAUUCCAGUAUAUACCAGUAUAUAUCAGUGUACACCAGUAUAUACCAGUAUAUACCAGUGUAUACCAGUUCUGUUUCAGGAACUGGUGCUGUCCAAUUCGUCCCAAUGUCCACCCCGAGCCUCCCCUGGCCCAGCCUGAGGCUGUUCCCUCUCCUCCUGUCCCUGUUCCCUGGGAGCAGAGCCUGCCCCCGCCAGCCACCCCCUUCUGUCAGGGAGCUGUGCAGAGCCUGAAGGUCCCUCCUGAGCCUCCUUUUCUCCAGGCUGAGCCCCUUUCCCAGCUCCCUCAGCCCCUCCCCAGCUCCGUUCCCUUCUCUGGACACGCUCCAGCCCCUCCAGCUCUUUCUUGUUGUGAGGGGCUCCAAACUGAGGCCAGGAUUGGAGGUGGUGCCUCAGCAGUGGCCAGCACAGGGGAUGGCACUGCCCUGCUCCUGCUGCCACAGCGGGGCUGGAACAGGCCAAGGUGCCCUGGUCCUUCUUGCCCAGCUGGGCUCCUGUUCAGCUGCUGCCAGCAGCACCCCCAGGGCCUUUCCUGCCGGGCCCUUUCCAGCCCCUCUGCCUCAGCUGGGAGCUGCAGGGGCUCUUGUGAGCAAGGACAGGACCCAGCACUUGGCCUUGUUCAUCCUCACACCACACUCACAUCCAGCCCCUCCAGACACGAGCGUGGAGCCUUCCUGCCCAGCAGCAGAUCAAUACUCCCAGCAACCUUCGUGUCAUCUGCAAACUCACUGAGGGUAAAGAAGCUGUUAAUUAAAACAGCUGAAUGGCAAUUGAGGGGAUACAGAAACCAGGAUGGCGUUUUCUGCUUCAGCCUAUUUUAUGUAAGACUCAGUAUGAGAAUAAGCACCAGCAGUGACCUGGUUUAG